GUAAUGUAAUGUUGGCCUUGCUGCUCUACAGGCUCUCUGAUUCAGCUGCCAUCAGUGGAGCGAGGAAAGCUCAGUAAGGUCCGUCUGGGUUCUCUGUCGCUAAAGAAGGAAGGGGAGAGACAGUGUUUCCUCUUCACCAAACACUUCCUUGUGUGCACUCGCAGCUCUGGGGGAAAACUGCACCUCCUCAAGCAAGGCGGAGUUUUGUCCCUAAUUGACUGCACGCUGAUAGAGGAACCUGACGCCAGCGAUGAGGAGGUAAAGGCUGGUGGUCAAGUGUUCGGUCAGCUGGACUUUAAACUGGUGGUGGAGCCAUCAGACUCACCUUCGUUCACUGUCGUCCUGCUGGCACCGUCGCUACAGGAGAAGGCUGCGUGGACCAGUGACAUUAGCCAGGUAAU
Molecule: long non-coding RNA, 401 nt
Organism: Sphaeramia orbicularis (orbiculate cardinalfish)
Lineage: Eukaryota; Metazoa; Chordata; Actinopteri; Kurtiformes; Apogonidae
Exons: 3
Source: RefSeq, a predicted model, not a curated record